AUUCCAGCUCCAGUAGCGUAUAUUAAUGUUGUUGCAGUUAAAAAGCUCGUAGUUGGAUUUCUGACUUGACGCGCCUGGCCCGCCUUGCAUUUCGCGGGUGAGUGCCGGAGCGCGUCGGUCAUCCUUCUAGAGAACGGCGCUACCCUUCACUGGGUCGGCGUCGCAAUCCAGAUCUUUUACUUUGAAAAAAUUAGAGUGUUCAAGGCAGGCUCGCGCUGUGAAUACAUUAGCAUGGAAUAAUAAUCUAGGACUUUGUUCCUAUUUUGUUGGUUUCUAGGAAUUAAGUAAUGAUUGAUAGGGAUAGUUGGGGGUGCUAGUAUUCAGCGGCCAGAGGUGAAAUUCUUGGAUUCGCUGAAGACUAACUUAUGCGAAAGCAUUCACCAAGGAUGUCUUCAUCA
Molecule: ribosomal RNA, 398 nt
Filed under: Imbricatea sp.
Lineage: Eukaryota; Cercozoa; Imbricatea
Description: partial small subunit ribosomal RNA
Rfam family: Eukaryotic small subunit ribosomal RNA
Source: RNAcentral